This 315-nucleotide ribosomal RNA is filed under the name uncultured eukaryote. Its description in RNAcentral is "partial 18S ribosomal RNA". It matches the Rfam family "Eukaryotic small subunit ribosomal RNA", at positions 1470 to 1796 of the family's 1831-position model. The record is from RNAcentral.
CCCUUAGACGUUCUGGGCCGCACGCGCGCUACACUGACCAGUGCAACAAGCAUCCGUCCUUGGCCGACAGGCCCGGGCAAUCUUUGAACGCUGGUCGUGAUGGGGAUAGACUUUUGCAAUUUUUGGUCUUCAACGAGGAAUUCCUAGUAAACGCAAGUCAUCAACUUGCAUUGAUUACGUCCCUGCCCUUUGUACACACCGUUUGUUGCACCUACCGAUUGAAUGGUCCGGUGAAGCCUCCGGAUUGGCGCGCACCUCGGUGCCGCCGAGAAGUUGGCUAAACCUUACCAUUUAGAGGAAGGUGAAGUCGUAACA